ACGAACUCUCUCCGUGGCCGCAUUCGGUCCUGUCUUCCACGUAGUAUUUUUUCUGUUGCCGGUCAAUUGUAUUUUGAAUUCGCCUUUGUUCAAGUCCCACAGCUCUUAGUCCGUACGCCCUCUAGCCCUAUUUCAAACUCUCUCUUAGCGAGUCCUUCAGUUUUUUGAAAAAGAUCGUAGAAUAGUCUUUGAUUGAGAUUGAGUCUGCUUGCUAUCUUC
This 219-nucleotide long non-coding RNA is filed under the name Nicotiana benthamiana. RNAcentral describes it as "long non-coding RNA (NBEN_LNC033368)". Lineage: Eukaryota; Viridiplantae; Streptophyta; Magnoliopsida; Solanales; Solanaceae. The record is from RNAcentral.